RNAcentral lists this ribosomal RNA (301 nucleotides) under uncultured bacterium. RNAcentral describes it as "partial 16S ribosomal RNA". It matches the Rfam family "Bacterial small subunit ribosomal RNA", at positions 509 to 807 of the family's 1533-position model. The record is from RNAcentral.
CAGUAGCCACGGUAAUACGAAGGGGGCUAGCGUUGUUCGGAUUUACUGGGCGUAAAGCGCACGUAGGCGGACUUUUAAGUCAGGGGUGAAAUCCCGGGGCUCAACCCCGGAACUGCCUUUGAUACUGGGAGUCUUGAGUUCGAGAGAGGUGAGUGGAAUUGCGAGUGUAGAGGUGAAAUUCGUAGAUAUUCGCAGGAACACCAGUGGCGAAGGCGGCUCACUGGCUUGAUACUGACGCUGAGGUGCGAAAGCGUGGGGAGCAAACAGGAUUAGAUACCCCCGUAGUCCCUGUCUCUUAUAC